GCUUGUUCUUAAUCUAUAUCUAGUUCUACUUAUAUUCUUAUUUUUGUUGAUAUUUUUAAUGAAGUCUAUGAAGCUAAAAUAAGUAUCAAGACCCAAUUAAUGAAAGCAUGUAAAAAUGAGUACCAAGAUAUUUGACAUAAUUUGAAAAGCUAAUAAUGGCGGCCAACAAUCUUUGAUCAAUAGAAUCUUGGCUCUUUUUCAACCUUUGGUGGGAGGAAGUGAGGAAGUUCUAUUUUAUCCAUU
This 243-nucleotide long non-coding RNA is filed under the name Elaeis guineensis (African oil palm). RNAcentral's name for it is "long non-coding RNA (EGUI_LNC025306)". The record is from RNAcentral. Lineage: Eukaryota; Viridiplantae; Streptophyta; Magnoliopsida; Arecales; Arecaceae.